RNAcentral lists this long non-coding RNA (4606 nucleotides) under Capra hircus (goat). RNAcentral describes it as "lncRNA (ENSCHIG00010030145.1)". Lineage: Eukaryota; Metazoa; Chordata; Mammalia; Artiodactyla; Bovidae. The record is from RNAcentral.
AAACUUCUGAGAUAUAUCCGCAGUGAUCAUGCCGGUGAAUGCGAGUUCCAUGAGGGAACAGACUUGUCUGACCUGUUCACAGUCACGUACCCAGUGCUGAGGUCAGCACCUGGCACAGAGUGGGGACUCCAUAGCCAUUUGUUGAGUGAAUUCAUGAAAGAAUGAAUUGACCAUGUCAGCAGCUGCUUCUAGAUUCCACGCCCUUUACUUGGUCCUCCGUCUCAAAUUAAGCAUCAGCUGGGUAAUGGACUCAUGUCACAACUGCUCAUCAAAAGGCACACUGACAGGCUCAGAAUGGUGACAUUCUGCAAAGUCAUCAGCAGUCUUGACAUUUACGCUGAUCAGUUUUCUUCUCUGACCACUCACAAAAUGAGAAUAUAUCUGACAAACUUGCAGCACCCGGGUGGAUUACGAUGCAUCAGCAUUCGUUUUCCAAACGCGUUCUCUAACACAUCAUACAAGAUACGGCACCCAUAGUCCUAGUUCAAUGCUGUGUACAUCUGAAUGAUAUUGAACCACAGAGGUUCUUUUUUUUCCAGAUCUUGUGAGCUUGUGAAAUGUUUCUGCAUUAGUUCAGUCAUGCUCUGAAACCAAUUUGGUGUGAUGUUGCAACUGCAACUAGAGGUGAAGGGGGUAGGCCCACAUAAACACAUGAUUUCUUUUACAAAAUCUUUUAUUAUUUCUCUAGGGCACAUGGAAAUAUUUUUAUGAAACCUUCAAGUUACAUAAAACACAGAGGAAGAAACCAAUACAGUUGCAAGUUUUAUUUCUCCUUGGAGAUUCAGAAGAGAUGGAAAACCCAUGCCAUUAACCACUGGAGCUGACCCAGUGUUACUUCAAAUGUGCUUUUCGUUUGUAAGGACAUAAGCACUAAUACAGCUUAGACUUCUGAGGUCCUAUCUAUCCUGCAAGUUAGCACACUUAGCAUGAAAGUUCACAGUGCUCUUAACACCAGGCUAAAAAAAUCCUGAGAUUGCUUUAGCCUAAAUAUUGUGUAAUCAUUAGAAUUCUAUUGAUAGUAUAUAUUCAAGCAUUGUUAUUUAUCAAUACUGGUUCACUGCAUACUUUUCUGUUUAUUCACAGUAUUUUCAAUGGUUUCUCUAGCACAGUACUUCCAGUUUUCAUUUUGAAAUAAUAAAUGUCUGUUUUACAAAAUGUGGGAGAUAAAAAAGUAGUCAAAAUAUCUAUUUUUCCAAAAUCACAUGAGCAUCACCAUUAAUAUUUUUAUAUACAUACUUUCAAUCUUUUUUUUAAUUUGCAUACUGUUGUAUACAAGGCAUAUGCAAUUUCACAAUCUACUUUUAAAGAUAGCUAGUUCAAAUAGUUCAUAAACAUCUUAAUGGUUGCAUUAAAAUUUCAAUCAUAAUUUAUAUUUAAAAAUUACUGUAACUUGCCACUUCCUUAAAGAAACUUAGGCACAGAUACUGAUGUAUUUAGCAAUAAAUGCAAAGCAGCAACUCUGUGUAACUCCAAUCCUGGGAAACAGAUCUGACCCUUAUAUACCAGGUUGUUUGUCCAUGAUGCAGUUCUCAUUCUUCAAAUAAAUCAGUUCUAUUUAACAUGAUAAUCUAUCAUAAUGAGAAGCCAUUACACAUGCAGCUAAAAUGUUGGAUGUUUUAGAAGUUAAAGACAUUUUAACUGAAACUUCAAAAAUAGAAUAUCACCUACUAGUAACAUUAAGCAAAGCACUUCAUCUUUCUAUGACUUGAUUUAUUCUCUUUAAAUAAAAUGUCAAAAAUAUUUUCAUUUAAUUCUAUUGCUUCAAAACAUAUGAAAUUUAAAAUUGAAAGAAUUACAAGACCCAUUUAGCAAUCAACACUUACGGUAGGAGAGUUUAAUGCAGAUUUCUCAGUAAAUGGUAGAUCAGUAACUGUAAGGAAUGAAUGUGUGCACUCAGUCAUGUCUGACUCUCUGUAGUGCCAUGGACUGUGGCCCACCAGGCUCCUCUGCCCACGGGAUUUUCUAGGCAAGAAUACUGGAGCGGGUUGCCAUUUCCUUCUCCAUAUGACUUGAUUUCUAAUUUCUUUUAAAAAGGGAAAAUGAUGUAUAAAUGAAGAUAAAGCUGUCAUGCAAAUCAGCAGUGGUACUGACUGCCUGAAAUAAAGUUCAGCUAAAACAAUCACAAUUCACAUAUACUUCUAAGACUGGCUCACAGAACUAUGUCUGUAUCUGAGAAAAACAGGAUCUCAGGCUAUACUACAAAAAUCUCAAUCAUCGGCCCAGAUUUGAUGUGGAAUGAUACUCUGCAAACAAAGAUUUUUCACCUUUUAACUUCUCUGGAUCUCAGCUGCAUUAUGUGAAAAUGGGGCAAAGAGUAUUAUCAUUAGAUAACAAUAUGUGAAAAACUUUGGAGGUUUUGGGAAGAUUUUUCUGUGUUCUGAAGUACUAUUACUUAUAUAAAAAGUCAUUAAAACUGCCAUUAGCAAAUAUGAAAAGUGCUUCUGAAUAUUUUUCAGCUUGGAAAAAAUAUCUUUAUAGAAGAAACACUUUUAGAAUCUUUUAAGCAAUAGUGACCUAUGGUCACCUACAAAUCAUUUUCACUAGUAUCUAGUUAUGCUUAGAUUGACUUGAACAAAAGAAGAUAGAGCAAUGUAAAAGUGCCAUUCUGAUGUUUACUUUGUGAUAUUAUUUUUCCCUGAAUAUAAAGGUCAUACUUAAUUUCCCACACUACUGGUAGGACUGCAAAACUGGUUCAAUCUCUUUGGAUAACUGUUUGGUAGCAUACANNNNNNNNNNNNNNNNNNNNNNNNNNNNNNNNNNNNNNNNNNNNNNNNNNNNNNNNNNNNNNNNNNNNNNNNNNNNNNNNNNNNNNNNNNNNNNNNNNNCAAUCUCUUUGGAUAACUGUUUGGUAGCAUACAGUACUGCUAAGUAUAUGCAUAUCCCAUGACCACUGAUCCUACUCCUUAAUCUAUAUAAAAAAUAUGUAUAUCUUUUCACCAAAAGCCAGGUAUAAAAUUUUCAUAAGAGCAAUAGUACAUAAUAGCUGCCAAGAGUAGCAAUAGCCCCCAAUUGAAAAUAGUCCAAGUAUCUACUGACCAUUAGAAUGAGUGAAUGUAUCAUCCAAAUGAAUAAACUAUACCUCUAUGCAACAAUACAGGUGACUGUCACAAAUGCAAUGCUGAAUGACAGAAGCCAGAUGCAAAAAAGCAUAACUACAUGAAUUCAUAGAUUUAAAGUUCAAAUAGCUGAGAUUAAUUUGGCCUGCUUAGAACUCUGGUACCUUAGAGGGUCUUUUAAGGCGGUUUUUUUUUUUUCUUUUCUGUUUGGCUUAUUUUCACUAGUAAAUUCAGUAUUAUUUUAUAUCUUGCUACUACAACCAUUCUCACACUUAACUAACUCUGGAGGAGUAGUCCCUUUCUGUUUCAGCUGAUGAAUUCAAGCCAGUGUCAUCAGACCAGUUCUGACAAUGAUCAAAGGAAAGAAACAGUCUGAAGAAGACCUAGCUAUUUUUUAUGCUUAGCUAUCACUGCACUUCUAUCUACAAAAACAUUCUCUCUUGUCAUUAUAGAUUUUUUUUUAGUACACACAGAAUUCAUAGCAAUGCAUAUUAGUAAGAAAACAGUAUUAGCAAGUGAUAGAUUGUGUGUUGAGGUGUCACACAUUUCCAAACAUUUACAGAAGACAGAAUGCAGGGUCAGUUUCACAUACACUAUUCCUGUUUCUUUCACAGUCGCUCCCUUUCCUCUUUCUGUCUACCCCACUUCCUGCUAUCUCCUGUUUUCUGGCUGAUAAGAAGCUCCACCCACACAGGAUCACUUGAUUCUGCCCUGUUUCCUGGGGCAUGGCCUCUCUGAAAACUUACCAAAGCAGCUAUUAAGCUGCUUUUCCACCCUUGGAAAGUAGAGAUUUGAGACUUUCAACCAGAUGGUCUACAAGAUCCCUACACAUUUAAUAGCAGCAGCAACUGCCAGGAUAAUUUCCCCUCAGAAACAGCUUUAAAAGUAAGAGUUUGAUGAUCUUGAGUUUAUGCUUUCAUUGUCUCUUGACAUUAUGUAAUUGAUUCCCACAAAAACAACCAAAGCCUUUAAAACAAGAUGGAUUAUGAUACCUUACUUCAAAAUAUUUUCUUCAAAUUUAAUUACAUUGAAAUAUUUUAUUUCUUAUUUAGCUAAGAGUAACAUUUCAGAAAAGAAAGGUUUCAACUUUCCAAUUGGAAAAUAAAAAAUAUAAGCAAAAAGCCAAGAUUCUCACAUCAGAGAAUACAUUUUUGAGAGCCAGCAAAUAAAAUCAUUGUUACCAAAUGAAGUCAUGAUUUACUUUAAAUAAAUGAAAUCAUUAUGUAUGUAUGUAUGUNNNNNNNNNNNNNNNNNNNNNNNNNNNNNNNNNNNNNNNNNNNNNNNNNNNNNNNNNNNNNNNNNNNNNNNNNNNNNNNNNNNNNNNNNNNNNNNNNNNUCAUGAUUUACUUUAAAUAAAUGAAAUCAUUAUGUAUGUAUGUAUGUCUGUGUGUGUGUGUUGCAAAGUACACUAAGAUUCCUAUUUUCUCAGUUUGUGGCUUGGCCAUGUAAGCCAGUAGAAAGUGAACAGGAACUAAAAAACCUCUUGAUGAAAGUGAAAGCAGAGAGUGAAAAAGUUGGCUUACAGCUCAACAUUCAGAAAACGAAGAUCA